GGAUAUAUAGCUCAGUUGGUAGAGCGCAUGCUUAGCACGCAUGAGGUCCUGGGUUCAAUCCCUAGCACCUCCA
RNAcentral lists this transfer RNA (73 nucleotides) under Camelus dromedarius (Arabian camel). It matches the Rfam family "tRNA". Rfam says of the family: Transfer RNA (tRNA) molecules are approximately 80 nucleotides in length. RNAcentral also lists the same sequence under 1 other name. Lineage: Eukaryota; Metazoa; Chordata; Mammalia; Artiodactyla; Camelidae. The record is from Rfam by way of RNAcentral.